CAGAUAUCUGGAAAGUAGUGAGAUGGAGGCGAGCAGGUGAGAGCUGAGCUAAUACCGCAUAAUCUUGCAGUUUAACAGCUCUGAGCAGAGCUGAUGCCUCAGCAUCAAGAGCCAGGAGGAGCAUGGGGAGCUACAGCCAUGUGCUGCAUGGCCACCCCAGGCCACGUUGCCAUCAAUCCCUGCAGCCUGGCCACAGCAGUCCUUUGGAUGCCAGGGUCCCACCACUACAUCCAUAAAUCCAAAAAUAAGUUCUGGCUAGUGCGUCCGUGAGGACAAAUCCAGUGCUGCCACAUAGUGGUGAAGAGGCAGUUCAGAAGGCAACAUCUGCAGAAUCCCCUGGAGAACCUGCGGUCAGAGCCUGAGUCAGCCCCAGCCUCAUGCCAGGGUCCCAGGGGCAGCUGGCUGGCACAGGCCCAUCCCAGGCUCCUUGGGGACUAACCCCACUCAUUCCUGUGCAGUGUUCCCAAAGGCAUCACCUCCUUUCCACUGCUGAUGCUGGGGAUGUGUCCCUCAUUAUAUCGGUAUCACUGUGGGAAACACAUCAUUAUUGUUAAUGAAGGUUUCUUCAGUUUGAUUUCAGCCCCAAAUUUCUGUUUUCAUCCUCACAUAUCAUCCAGACCUCCUACGGUUUCAUAGACCCAACACCAAAGAGUUUCAUUUCUCUCUUCUACAUAUCUCUCUGCUGUGACACUGCUGCUGUUUUGGUGGAUUGCUUCUUGUUCCUCCUUUGGCCACAACACCAGAAGCAACACUAUGCUAACACAUGUGCAUCCUGCGGUGUCAGCCCACAGCUUUGAGAUAUGAAGGACAGGUUGCUAAAUGUUGCUGCUCACAUAUGCAGAAAAGUACCCAAGGGGACUCCCAGGAAACCCAUGCACCCACAGCUGUGCAGGCAGUGUGUACUCAUGGUGCUUAGCAGCCCAUGUCCCCGCAGCUGCCUCUCAUCAAGGCUCCUUGAAAGACUCAGAACCCUCUAGCAGGAACCCUGACCAUAUCUACGUUAGAAACAUGAGCUCCUGACCGGCUGGAACAGACUCCUUUUGGAAUACCGGACAGGAAUAAGUGACAGAGGGGCGAUGCAUCUUCACAUUUUGAAAGGAUUGCUCCCUUCUCGGCAGGGCUGUCACUGCCGAGCGUGGCCUCGUGGUGGGAGCUGAGAGGUGAGGGUUUGGAUGGCAGCGUGACGCAGCUGUAUCUGCAGAGCCACGAUGGCACCACUCAAUGCCAUUCAAAAGACCAAGGUGCUCUUCCAGCCAACGCUGUGUGCUCUUCUUCACUUGGAGCACGUGGGCAGUCUGCACAAAGCCCAAACCGUGCCCAAGUCCCACACCUGGAGAGUGCCCCAGGGAAAUGCUCAUGUUUUGGUGGCAUCACCACCCCUCAGAAAGAAAUGGUGUUUGGGAACAAACCUGCAUUUGGACGGUUUUAUAAAAGGAGUGCUGAAAAAAGAAAUGGAAAGUUUUCCUGCAAAGAGCAUAUGCUGCAGCUUCCUGAAACAAGAACCCAGCUCUGGUAAGGAUUCUGGCAGUUUGGAGCCUUUCAAUAUUAAAGGACUCUCUAGCAGAUUAGAAUGGCAUAAUAAAAGCUAAUAAAAAUGAAACUGGACAAAUUCGGGGAAGAAAUUAAGGCACACGUUUUUAACAACAAUAAAAUUAAUCACUGAACAGUAGAAUUAAGUCACUGGAAUGGGCUCCAAAGGGAUGUGGCAAAUGCACCUGAAGCUGCAGCCCCUGAGCACGUGGCUUCACCCCACUUGGCCUCCUCAGGUACCAUCGCUGCCCCUUUCCCUGCUGAGAGAUGGGAAAAACAGAGGAAGGAAACAAAUUGCUCUCCUGCACCAAGGUUCUCUCUGCCUCUCUGCUUUUGUCUCUCAGAUGCAACAUAUAAAAUGAUGAAGUACAUCCCAGCUCGCCUGCAUGCUGGCUGUGCUGUGCCCCACUGGUAAUGCAAGCAGCUACUUGAAUUUACAGCUGCGUCACACGGCCAGAGUGGAAUGCAGCAGCCAGGGCAAGCACUGCAUACAGCUGGAACUACUGACACACAUCUUAACCUGGGGAAGGAUUUUAUUGGGCACGAAGUGGCAUCUUUUACACUAGGAUGUAUUUUUACACAUAAUUUAGGCCAGCAUAAACUCUCACUGUUG
Molecule: non-coding RNA, 2143 nt
Organism: Meleagris gallopavo (turkey)
Lineage: Eukaryota; Metazoa; Chordata; Aves; Galliformes; Phasianidae
Source: RefSeq, a predicted model, not a curated record